This 321-nucleotide ribosomal RNA is filed under the name uncultured Prevotella sp. RNAcentral describes it as "partial 16S ribosomal RNA". The record is from RNAcentral. Lineage: Bacteria; Pseudomonadati; Bacteroidota; Bacteroidia; Bacteroidales; Prevotellaceae.
GGAGUCUGGUCCGUGUCUCAGUACCAGUGUGGGGGACCUUCCUCUCAGAACCCCUACCGAUCGAUGCCCCGGUGGGCCGUUACCCCGCCGGCAAGCUAAUCGGACGCAUCCCCAUCCCAUAGCGGUGAACCUUUGUUCCAAAGUUAGAUGUCUGCUUCGGAAAACAUAGGGUAUUAAUCCGCAUUUCUACGGGCUAUGCCCUACUAUGGGGAAGGUUGGAUACGCGUUACUCACCCGUGCGCCGGUCGCCGACAAGGAAAGCAAGCUUUCCUCUCGAUGCCCCUCGACUUGCAUGUGUUAAGCCUGUAGCUAGCGUUCAUC